RNAcentral lists this ribosomal RNA (466 nucleotides) under uncultured bacterium. Its description in RNAcentral is "bacterial SSU rRNA". It matches the Rfam family "Bacterial small subunit ribosomal RNA", at positions 335 to 799 of the family's 1533-position model. The record is from RNAcentral.
ACUCCUACGGGAGGCAGCAGUGAGGAAUAUUGGACAAUGGGCGGGAGCCUGAUCCAGCCAUGCCGCGUGCAGGAAGACUGCCCUAUGGGUUGUAAACUGCUUUUAUACGGGAAGAAACACUCCCUCGUGAGGGAAUUUGACGGUACCGUAAGAAUAAGGAUCGGCUAACUCCGUGCCAGCAGCCGCGGUAAUACGGAGGGUGCGAGCGUUAAUCGGAAUUACUGGGCGUAAAGCGCAUGCAGGUGGUUUGUUAAGUCAGAUGUGAAAGCCCGGGGCUCAACCUCGGAAUUGCAUUUGAAACUGGCAGACUAGAGUACUGUAGAGGGGGUAGAAUUUCAGGUGUAGCGGUGAAAUGCGUAGAGAUCUGAAGGAAUACCGGUGGCGAAGGCGGCCCCCUGGACAGAUACUGACACUCAGAUGCGAAAGCGUGGGGAGCAAACAGGAUUAGAUACCCUGGUAGACUGUC